UAGUGUAGUGGUUAGCACGUCUGCUUUACACACAGAAAGUCCUGGGUUCGCACCCCAG
Non-coding RNA from Pteropus alecto (black flying fox), 58 nucleotides. NCBI's taxonomy places the organism in Eukaryota, Metazoa, Chordata, Mammalia, Chiroptera, Pteropodidae. The record is from Rfam.